RNAcentral lists this long non-coding RNA (1589 nucleotides) under Rhipicephalus microplus (southern cattle tick). RNAcentral's name for it is "uncharacterized LOC119167756". Lineage: Eukaryota; Metazoa; Arthropoda; Arachnida; Ixodida; Ixodidae. The record is from RNAcentral.
ACCUUGGCAGUCCACGGCAAGAUAUGCACCCACCAUUUCUACAUUUCUGCUGAGGGCGAAACUGACUCCUACCUUCUUGAAAGCGAGCUAGUUGCUUUGCUACUCGCAUCCCAUGAUGUGUUUGAAUGAUGGCCUGCUUCAGCGUGACAACAAUGUUAUACUGCUAUAUUGAAUUCUAGCACAGAUAUUUUCAUUGUGAGGAGUAUUGUAUACUGAACAAUGGGCGCCAUUUUUUAAAUGUAUUUCCUCAUGCCAAUCGAAUGAGUAGUGUUUGUUUUUCUCGUUUUUUUUUUCCACUUUUCUUUUGCGGCACCCAUUUGAAAAACUGAAAAACUGGAGCUUAUUGCGGAAGCCACAAACUACCCAAAGAGAAUUUGGUGCCAUGUGCCAUCUACGAUACUUCUUUCUGCAGAGCAUUUCUGAAAAACGCCAGCAUGGCCAAACAGCGAUUCGAAAAAGCUGCAAGACAGUGGAAACCCAUAAACUACGCCAGUAGUGCAAGGAGCAUAUCUGUGGACAUGACUGGAGACACAUUUGUUCCCUUUCCCUGGCUGCUGACACAAUGCUCUAUCCACCAAAGUACACACAUUAUGCACUUUAUUACGUGCUGAGAAUGACAUGUUUAUGCAAAAACGAGCACCAACAUUUUUCAAACCAUGUGCUAUCCUGUGUAUGUAUAGGAUAACUGCCUGCCUCUUUUUCUUGCUAAUUUCUAGUGCACUUGAAUCACAAUGAUAAGACUUCUCGAUCUUUAAAAUAAGUUUUUCCGACAAGGAGCAAAUCACGUCACCCAGAAAGCCAGAAUUUGCAAGGCGAGCAACUUGUGCAUCAAAUGCAUGCGCCAUAAGGUGCUCGCGUAACUUCUGAAGAGCGGCACCCAGCACAGUUGAUGCAAUGGCUCCCUGUAUGGUUUUGAGUGGCCAGAAUUAAAAUUUAGAAUUGGCUUUAUGAAUCUAGGUUGGUAUUGCUAUAUAUGUGAUCUUUGAUGAAAGCCUGUCUUAAAUCAAGAAACUGUAGCUCAUCAAUUUUUUGAAACUCCAAAGUGAAACGCUGACAUUUCGUUUUCCUUAACAUCUUUCUUUAUAUUAGCAAUCAGUAAAGAGCAAUUGUUAAUGUCCAGUAGAACGAAGAAGUCAUGGACAUAUCAAACAGCGUGUGAUGAUAACCAAUUCAAAUGCUUUUGCAGCUGCCCGUCUACAUACCCAAGAAAAAUAUAACUAAUUACAGGUAUAUUCAUGAUUCAAUGCAGAUACCAGAUUUUUGGACAAAAUUGUUUCCCUUCCAAGACACAACGGUAGAAUUUAGGUGGCCUGCAUGAGCUCUAAAAACGACGCAACAGCGAUGCCACACUGGCACUGAAACAACAACUCAUCAUUAUCUUCUCUCAUGCACUGCUUUAUACAAUUCAAAUCUUCACAUUGGGGCAAACAAUAAUAUAAAUCUUUUACGUCUAUACCGAAUGCAUUACGGCACAAAGAAGGUUGUUCACUUAGUGAUAAGAUGAUAGAUUCUGAGUUAGAAAUUCUUAGCGGAUCACAAGUCUUCAAACGCUCCGAAUUUCUUUGAAUAAACUCUGAAACAUUUAUUUA